UUGGAUUCUUGUGGUUAAGACAGUGCCCCCUCGCUGGUCAGUUCUUCUCUGAGAGUGUGCUCAUUUCUUCAGAGGCUGAUGAUCUUAUUUUCAAAGGUUCUUGGCUCAUCAGCAACUGAGAGUUGGCUAACAUGAAACUACCUCAUGGCUUGGAGCAAAAUUUUUCACAUUUUUCAGAUCUCUGGAUGAAACGCUAUAUCUAAAGGUCUGGGACUAUCACUCACAUGAACUGUGGGCAUAUAUCAGUUGUGCGGGAGCCUUCUUGGAGAUGGGUUCAGAAAUAAACUCAUUCAGAUAUGAUCAUGAAAUUCUAGCCUGAGAAAGCAGACUCAAAUAGCUCUGUUGAAGCAGCUUUGCUUUUCAGGUGAGGCAGAACUCUCUGAA
RNAcentral lists this long non-coding RNA (384 nucleotides) under Bos taurus (domestic cattle). RNAcentral describes it as "long non-coding RNA NONBTAT025875". The record is from RNAcentral. Lineage: Eukaryota; Metazoa; Chordata; Mammalia; Artiodactyla; Bovidae.